UACGUAGGGUGCAAGCGUUAAUCGGAAUUACUGGGCGUAAAGCGUGCGCAGGCGGCCAUGCAAGACAGAUGUGAAAUCCCCGGGCUCAACCUGGGAACUGCAUUUGUGACUGCAUGGCUGGAGUGCGGCAGAGGGGGAUGGAAUUCCGCGUGUAGCAGUGAAAUGCGUAGAUAUGCGGAGGAACACCGAUGGCGAAGGCAAUCCCCUGGGCCUGCACUGACGCUCAUGCACGAAAGCUAGGGGAGCGAAUGGG
This 253-nucleotide ribosomal RNA is filed under the name uncultured bacterium. Its description in RNAcentral is "partial 16S ribosomal RNA". It matches the Rfam family "Bacterial small subunit ribosomal RNA", at positions 524 to 776 of the family's 1533-position model. The record is from RNAcentral.